AUGAGCUUUGGGCUCUCCUCCAACCCAAGCCAUUCCAGGAUUCCAUGUGCUGGUUUGGAUGGGAUUUUGGGAAGAAAUUCCUGCCUGGGAGGGUGGGAGGGGCUGGCAUGGAAUUCCCAGAGCAGCUGGGGCUGCCCCUGCAUCCCUGGAAGUGCCCCAGGCCGGGCACCUCAAAUCGGCCCCAAAUUGUCCCCAGAGCAACCCUGGGACAGUGGGAGGUGUCCCUGCCAGGGCAGGGGUGGCACUGGAUGGGCUCUAAGCUCCUUCCAACCCAAACCAUUCCAUGAAUCCACAACUCCAUGAUCCACACCCCAGCGAGUCCCAGCAGAAUCCCCAAAGUUCACCCUCACUCCCAAAACAAUCCAGGAACCAUCCAAAGCCCCGAGGCUGGGGCAGCAGGAGCAGAGCCCAGGGCCAGGAAUCCCAGGAGAAAGGAGAAGCCAGGCAGGGGCAGGCUCGGAGGAGGAGGAGCCCAGGCAGGGGAGGAAGGCUCCUGGCGGGCUGGGGCAGCUCCUCCCGGCCGAUAAGGAGCACCUGGAGCUCCUUAUCCGAGCCCUCGGCACGCAGGGGCUCCAGAGCCAGACCUGCAGCCCGGCUGAUAAGGCAGCAGUGCCCAGCUGCGAGCUGGGCACCCAAACUGGGCUUUAUCUCCUGGAUCCAGGGGUUUCUAUUGCCAUUUUUGUCACUCUGCGAAUCUCCAGCCUCUCUAACAGCUGAGCCCCACCUGGCUCGGGGGGUUUAUCCUCCCCACCAGCAGCACGGGGCUGCCCUGGCAGCUGCCAAAACCCCAGAGCAGCGAAUUCAAAGUUAUUUUGUUUUAAAAAUAUAAAAUUGGUGUGCUCAGCAGCAGAUAUCAGUGGUUUUCUUGCCUGGCAUGGAAUUCCCAGAGGAGUCGUGGCUGCUCCAUCCCUGGAAGUGUCCAAGGCCAGCCUGGGGUGGUGGAACUCUGCCCAUGGAUGAUUUAAGGUCCCUCCCAGCCCAAACCAUUCCAUGAUUUUUAAUGUGGAAAGGAAAAGGUCCUGGUUUAUGGCAUUUUAUACAGGCUUUAGAGGAGGGGUCAGAGCAAAUAUAAAUGGUUGAUUUGAUUUUAAUCUUAUUUGCAGCACAGCCAGCUGGAAUUUUAUGUCCUCACUGCUUUUUUUUCUGGCAAGUUUGGGUGCCAGAUCCUCAUAGGAAAGACAGAUUCCAUGUGGGAAUCAAUUCCCCAUCCCAGGGACACAGACCAGCCCCUUCCCAGCACAUCCCAUCCUUCCUUAAAAACACCCAAAAUAAAAUUUAACCCCAAGUCUGGAGCUCUUUCCCAGCCCAUCCUGAGCUCCAAGGCAGUGCCAGCCUCAGGAGAUCCCUGGAGAAGGGUCCAGCCUGGAUUCCCCUGGGAAUGGAGAGCCCAGGGAGGUUCAUCUGCUUGGAAACCUGACGUGUCCCAGUUAUUUUGUUAUCUUUACAUUUGCAAACUCCAGGAAUAUAAACAAACAAUUCUGUUUUGUCUUCGGGGUGGCCUGACCCACUUUGGGAGCAGCAGCCCCUGGUUUGAAGCCUCCAUGAGGUGCUGCUGCCAGGAUCAGGGCUGGAAAAUCAUGGAAAACUGGAAUUCCUGCCCUGCCAUAGGCUCAGGGCAGGGAUUUAUGCACUUGGUGUGCUGGUGCUGGGAUCAGGGCUGGAAAAUCAUGGAAAACUGGAAUUCCUGCCCUGCCACAAGCUCAGGGCAGGGAUUCAUGGGGUUCUUUGCCCCCAAAAGUGCUGGAGCCCACCAGAGUGAAACAAUUGGAUGUUUGGAAUGCAGGCAGAGCAGGAUCCUUCCCAGCUUUAACCGCAUUCCCGAACUUUCUCCUUUUUGCCUGAGUCACCCAGGGAUCGGUUUCACCGCCGGGAUUUUGUGUAACGUCACCACAGCGUCACCAUGAAAGAAAUGAGAAAGAACCGAGCCCUGCUGGUGUCUCCAGGGGGUUUUUCCAGCCCCAAACCAUCCCAAGGUGGGAAGAGGCAGCGCUGGAGCUCCAGCAGAGCCCGGCAGGGAGCUCCAGCCCCCCGAGCUCCGGGGGUGACUCCCGGAAUUUCCCAAUUUCAGCGCUCACAGAACCUGACCCAAUUCCCCCUCCCCGAGCGGGUGCAGGCAGGGGCAGAGCCCGCCGUGUGUAAUUAAAGCUGCUUGGGGAUUAUUUCCUGCACCCGAGUGGUUGUUUUGGGUUUUGGUUUGUUGGGUUUUUUUUUUUCCCAACUCGCCUUUCUGGUUUGGAGCCCUGCGGGAACAAUGGGAGGGCGCAGCUGGAGGUGACUGGGGAGGGACUGGUGGCACCGGGCACAGGCUGGAGCUCCCGGAAUGAAGAGAAAAUGCUGGAAUGAGGACUCCGAUGCAUUCUGAGCCUUCUGCCACAGCACAAGCAGAGGAAAAACCCCUUGAAUCACCCCAAAGCCAGCACAGCUUCGGGAGCUUUGAAACAGGAACAUUUCAAGGAAUAAAUGCAGAAAAGCCAGGAGGAAAAUCCUGCUGGGAGAGGAUAAAAUCGAGAGCAGGCUCCUGGUAUUGAAGUGAUUUCAGCAUUUAUUGCAAGAAAAGCAAAGGCCUAAAGCAAGGAGCAGCAGCGUUCCUGCCGAGGAUGGAGCAGCGCCAGAGCUGGGUUUUCUUUUCAGCAGAGAUGUUCCAGGUGGAGCAGCACCAUUCAGGGGGUCAGGAGCUCCUUUUUAUCCCGGUUUGUCCCUUUGGGUUGGUUCCUGUUUGGAUCCUUCCUCUGCAUGAAGGUUUGAGGUGUUGGAUUGGCCCUGACAGCUCUGCCCAGGCUGUCCCGUGUCACCUGGGGGUGCUGCACUUCACUGAGCUGUCACUGAGAUAUUUUAUAAAAAAUCUCUUUGCCAGGAUUUCCUCCUGGGAAGCUGAGAAGCCUCAGGAAUGUGAACAAUGAUUAUCUGAUUGCUUGGAAUGUGGGCUGGAGGUUGUUACCAACAGGGGCAUCUUUGGUUCCAUGGGAAUUGUUUUUAAUUAAUGACCAAACCCAGUCCAGCUGUGUCAGGAUUCUGGUCAGUCACGAGUUUUUAUUAUUCAUUCUUGUCCAGCCUUCUGAUGUCUCCUCUCUUUCUUUAGUACAGUUUUAGCAUAGCAUUUCUUUUCAUAUAACAUCAUAAAAUAAUAAAUCAGCUUUCUGAGAA
This is a long non-coding RNA of Serinus canaria (Common canary), 3144 nucleotides long. RefSeq lists it as uncharacterized. The record is from RefSeq and is a predicted model, not a curated record. Lineage: Eukaryota; Metazoa; Chordata; Aves; Passeriformes; Fringillidae. The transcript has 2 exons.